AUUAGCUAUGUGUAUUUCGAUAAUUAUCUCUCAGGUACAGAGGAUCAUGGAAUAGGUUAUGGAAUAGCCAUGAUAUUUUUACCAUUGGGAUUAUUCGUGUUUGUGUAUUGGGAAAAGGGCAUCUGUGGCGGUGAUAUUCUGGCAGACCACCACAUUGUACAUUUUGUGUAGAUUUUUUGUACCUGAGAGAUAAUUGAAUUUAGGUUUUUCUCACGCAAUUAUCUCUAAGGCACAAAUGAUCCUGG
This is a non-coding RNA of Pelobates cultripes (western spadefoot toad), 245 nucleotides long. Lineage: Eukaryota; Metazoa; Chordata; Amphibia; Anura; Pelobatidae. The record is from the annotation of a GenBank genome assembly.